This 216-nucleotide ribosomal RNA is filed under the name uncultured bacterium. RNAcentral describes it as "partial 16S ribosomal RNA". It matches the Rfam family "Bacterial small subunit ribosomal RNA", at positions 326 to 539 of the family's 1533-position model. The record is from RNAcentral.
ACGCUCGACACCUACGAGGCAGCAGUGAGGAAUAUUGGUCAAUGGGCGCAGGCCUGAACCAGCCAAGUAGCGUGAAGGAUGACUGCCCUAUGGGUUGUAAACUUCUUUUAUAUGGGAAUAAAGUUUUCCACGUGUGGAAUUUUGUAUGUACCAUAUGAAUAAGGAUCGGCUAACUCCGUGCCAGCAGCCGCGGUAAUCUGAGCGGGCUGGCAAGGC